Molecule: small nucleolar RNA, 132 nt
Filed under: Dasypus novemcinctus (nine-banded armadillo)
Lineage: Eukaryota; Metazoa; Chordata; Mammalia; Cingulata; Dasypodidae
Description: Small nucleolar RNA SNORA31 (ENSDNOG00000030718.1)
Source: RNAcentral
AUGCAAUGUAAAAUACCAUUAGCAGUUAAUAUCUCCUGCUAAGGUUGCCACUACAGAUGCAAGGAAAAGAAAGUUCUUGUGCUUUCUGUCUGCCUGGUUGUGGCAGCCAAGAUUGAAUGGGAGAAUACAGGA